UGACAAGCCAGACCCACAUCAUGAUGUUGGGUCUGGUAAAUCACCAAAGGCAAUGCUCAAUCCGAGGGGGCGGGAUAAACGGUUGUCUUUCACAUUCCCUCUGCACGCAAUAGGAUAGCGCUACAACCAACCAGAGCAAUGCUAGUUGAUAGAUUAAACUUUUGUUGCAUCCAGUGUGAAAACUCUGAAC
Long non-coding RNA from Etheostoma spectabile (orangethroat darter), 190 nucleotides. RefSeq lists it as uncharacterized. Lineage: Eukaryota; Metazoa; Chordata; Actinopteri; Perciformes; Percidae. The record is from RefSeq and is a predicted model, not a curated record. The transcript is spliced from 3 exons.